This 210-nucleotide long non-coding RNA is filed under the name Elaeis guineensis (African oil palm). RNAcentral describes it as "long non-coding RNA (EGUI_LNC044643)". The record is from RNAcentral. Lineage: Eukaryota; Viridiplantae; Streptophyta; Magnoliopsida; Arecales; Arecaceae.
CUUUUGAAUCUUUGAUCAACAUUUGAUCUUUGAUCAUGAUCUCAAUGCUUGAAACUGCAGCCUUUCUCCCUGUUCCUUACUGUAGAAGAAAUCAUCCUCAACUCAAGCAUGUGGGAAGAUGGGACACCCAACCCUUGGGCAUUGGAAAAAGAGGAAGAAGGGGAGAUGGCAUGGAGAAGGAGAAAGGGAGGUGAUCUGAUUUCUAACUUC